CUAACAUUAAAGAAGAGAAGCUAGAAAUUCUCAGCUCUCUACAACGUGUGCAGAAGCAGCUUCAGCGAAUAACUCAAAUGAAUGUUAAAAUGGAAAGUGAAUUAAACGCACUGAGAGAAGAAUAUCAGGAGGAAGAUUUGAGAAGAGAGAUGGACACUAUUAAAAAUGAGCUGAAGUCCCUUAAAGAGGUCCAAGGACAUCUUGAAGAUUGCCAUCCUCCUCAGGGAAACCAGCAUUCUGAGCAAGUAGAAAAUCUGCAGGUGGGUGAGCCCCUAGAAUGGCUGCAGUACUUUGCAUUUCUUCUUACAAAUGAGUUUAGAGAAUGAGAGACAUAAUAGUUUUUCUAGUCUGGCUUUCAGCGAUCUUCCUUUGACAUUACUUAAGCCUAAAAGUUUCUCUGAUGUAGUCAGUGAUCCAAGAUCCCAUGAAAAGAGCUUGCAUUGCUGGGUGUGCCAAGUCCACGCUCAGCUGCAUAUUCAGGAUAUGUAUGAAAAGUCAUUAAGUGGUUAAGCAUGUGGAGAUGGUCUUUUGAAGCAAAAGGAGGAGCACAUAGCACUGCAGGUAAGUGUUACCCCUUACUUAAACUGGAUUGCAAAUUUAUAUUCUAGUCUUUUAUAAGAUGGAAAAAACAAGGUUACAAGCUGUAAGAGAAAAAUUCCUUGUGUAUGGAGAAUAUUCUGUUAUUUGGCAGUCUUCUGUCUGCAUUGUUGUGCCACUCAUUUUUCCACUCAGAUAAUGGCUCAUCCUUCAAAGAAGGAAAAAGUCAUUUUGCAUCUCUACAAAUUUUCUCUUUCAGUGUUAGGGAGACAGUAGGUAACUACACUUCUUUUGUGGAGUAGGUAAAAUGUAAAAUGACAAACUGAAACUGCCUUAAAUUUUGGAAGAACUUAAGUGAAUUUCUUCACACAUUCAUUCAAACAUACACGCACAUGACUAUACACACGUCUGGAAUGCACUUAAUAAUGCUGUGGGAAUUAAACUUGACAUGCAUCUUCAUCGUGCAAUAUCUGCAUCUCUUCCCCAAAUAAAUUAAGCUGGGAGCAUAAAGAUAAACA
This 1055-nucleotide long non-coding RNA is filed under the name Phasianus colchicus (ring-necked pheasant). RNAcentral describes it as "lncRNA (ENSPCLG00000017837.1)". The record is from RNAcentral. Lineage: Eukaryota; Metazoa; Chordata; Aves; Galliformes; Phasianidae.